CCCACAUGAAAGCAUUAGAGAGCCUGCUUCCAGAAAGAUAUGAUCACGUAAAUGGAAGGACCUUGUGUCCUGAUUUGGAGCCUACACAAGCACUGGAUAACUGCUUCUACUUCACUGAUCCCAUGGAGAGAAAGAACCUUUCUUAUUGGUUGUAAAUCCUGAAUUGGAAUGCAUUCAAAAAGCACUAACCAGUCAGAGUAAUUCUCUUGGCCACUAUUUAGAAAAAAAGGCAGGACUAGGAAAAAUAAAGCUUCUGGCUCUCCCCAUCUUAAACUGUAAUGCUGGAGAAAUUGAGCGAGAUAGAGAUUAGAGAACAAUUUAAUAAUUUAUUUAAUGGAGAGAUUUACUAGGACCAAAUGGAUCCAUGGUUUGGUCCCAGGGCUGAAUGAGACUAUCGUCUCAAAGAAUCCAGCCAUGAAUGUCGCAUACAAGAUUCUUUUAUAGGGUAACAAGAACAGUGACAUAAUGGGGGAGGUACCUGGAUGGGGAUGACCUAAUUGGGGAGGAACCUAGGAUGACAUAAUGGGAGAUACUGGAGAGGCUUCUGAUAUUCUAAUGAUGUCUAAAAUGGAUAAAGACCUUUAUCUCACCAAACUUUAAGAGGGAAUAAGUAUAGCCUAAAGUCUAAAAUAUAAGACCUUUAUCCUAUUAAACAUUAAGAGGGAAUGGUUAUAACCUGAAGCAGAGUAACUGAAUAGGACAAUUAGGGAAACUGGGUCAGUCAUUAAAAGGGAACUGUGGUACAACAAAACUAACAUGUGAUUUGUGAAUUCAGCUCUCUUUUCUUUGCUUCUUUGUAUUGCUUUUUCUUGCUCUCACAUAAAGAAACAUGAAAAAAAGCUAUAACCUAGUGAGCUUCAAAAAAACAAAACAAAACAAACAAACAAAAAAAAAAAACAUUCAGAAUGGACCAGAUGUCUAGGAACCACAAUCCAUGCUUAGUUUUUCUGUCAGCCCACCCAGAACUGAAACCAUGAGAAGCUCAGUAGCAAGACCCUGAAAAAUUAACUAAACAAUCCAGAAGAAACAACAGCUGAGACUAGGAUGUAUCCAGUGGCUCUGCCAUAUUUGACAGAAACUUGAUGGGAUUUGUGCUACAUAAAAACUACUUUAAUUUUUUGAGUCUAUUCUCGCUAGGGACUAAGGUAGUACAGAUGUUAGAGGGAAAUGUUUGUAAUUAUGGAAUUGCUUUAUCUUCACAAUAAAUAUUCUUUUUAAAAAUCUUAUUGACAUUAAUUGGUUAAAUGAAAAUUAACUAAUUACUUGUGGCUAGCAUUGGGAGCAUAUGCUAGAGUGGGAGCUAAAACUGAUAGCAUUAGAGAAAAGCUACCCAUUUUCUAGGCAAGUCUGAUUACAUUGUCCCCUCAGGGUACUCUUGGAAGCCUUGGUGAACUAUGUAGUCAGACUUGCUCUGAAAGAGGGAGUCCAGAGUCUUGCAACAAAUUGCAAUAAAUAAAAGAUAAAGAAGAGAGAAAGGUGGAAUCUUUUUUCUAGAGAAAGUAUCCCUUGUUUAAGAUACAAGGCCAGACCUAGGGACCAGAGCUGUUAAGGAAAAUUGGGGACUCUGGUAAUAAAUUUACAAACUUGGUCCAAAAAUUUAUAACUGAUAUUUAGUUUUUUAAAUAUGAUUUCUGACGGAAGAAAUGUAAUGAGGCAUUCAUUUUUUUAAAAAGUACUCUGUAUUUGAAAAGACAGUCACAUCUCCUGAAAGAAAAGCUAAAGAAGCUCCACUCAUGCACUGAGAGUAGCAAGACGUUCCUGGAGCAUGAUCAUACAGGCAAUUUGGUUUAGGGCAUGAUUAACAGUUGAGCCUACCUUUCUUAUCAGUGCCACCUAGUGACCAUGUUUAUAUGUUACAAAUAUUUAACUUUUGAAGUAUUUUAUCAAUAACUCUCUGUUGUAUUUUUAUUAUAUUUUCAUAUGUUGUUAAAAUUAUAAUGUUUUUGUUC
Sarcophilus harrisii (Tasmanian devil) is the source of this 1949-nucleotide long non-coding RNA. NCBI's taxonomy places the organism in Eukaryota, Metazoa, Chordata, Mammalia, Dasyuromorphia, Dasyuridae. The record is from Ensembl.